RNAcentral lists this ribosomal RNA (497 nucleotides) under Staphylococcus hominis. Its description in RNAcentral is "bacterial SSU rRNA". It matches the Rfam family "Bacterial small subunit ribosomal RNA", at positions 49 to 527 of the family's 1533-position model. The record is from RNAcentral. Lineage: Bacteria; Bacillati; Bacillota; Bacilli; Caryophanales; Staphylococcaceae.
CUAUACAUGCAGUCGAGCGAACAGACGAGGAGCUUGCUCCUUUGACGUUAGCGGCGGACGGGUGAGUAACACGUGGGUAACCUACCUAUAAGACUGGGAUAACUUCGGGAAACCGGAGCUAAUACCGGAUAAUAUUUCGAACCGCAUGGUUCGAUAGUGAAAGAUGGCUCUGCUAUCACUUAUAGAUGGACCUGCGCCGUAUUAGCUAGUUGGUAAGGUAACGGCUUACCAAGGCAACGAUACGUAGCCGACCUGAGAGGGUGAUCGGCCACACUGGAACUGAGACACGGUCCAGACUCCUACGGGAGGCAGCAGUAGGGAAUCUUCCGCAAUGGGCGAAAGCCUGACGGAGCAACGCCGCGUGAGUGAUGAAGGUCUUCGGAUCGUAAAACUCUGUUAUUAGGGAAGAACAAACGUGUAAGUAACUGUGCACGUCUUGACGGUACCUAAUCAGAAAGCCACGGCUAACUACGUGCCAGCAGCCGCCGGGUAAUAAA